RNAcentral lists this ribosomal RNA (574 nucleotides) under Taeniurops meyeni (blotched fantail ray). RNAcentral describes it as "Taeniura meyeni (blotched fantail ray) partial 16S ribosomal RNA". It matches the Rfam family "Bacterial large subunit ribosomal RNA", at positions 1850 to 2605 of the family's 2925-position model. Lineage: Eukaryota; Metazoa; Chordata; Chondrichthyes; Myliobatiformes; Dasyatidae. The record is from RNAcentral.
AGGUCCCGCCUGCCCUGUGAUUUUUUUAACGGCCGCGGUAUCUUGACCGUGCGAAGGUAGCGUAAUCACUUGUCUUUUAAUUGAAGGCCCGUAUGAAAGGCAUCACGAGAGUUUAUCUGUCUUUAUUUUCCAAUCAAUGAAAUUGAUCUUCUCGUGCAGAAGCGAGAAUAAAUACAUAAGACGAGAAGACCCUAUGGAGCUUUAAACACUUAAGUUAUUUUUAAAUAUCAAAAUUUUCUCGCCCUCGGGCAUAAAAUACAAAAUAACAUCCUAACUUAACUUGUUUUUGGUUGGGGCGACCAAGGGGAAAAACAAAACCCCCUUAUCGAAUGGGUGAAAAAUCACUCAAAGCUUAGAACUACAGUUCUAAUUAGUAGAAAAUCUAACGAACAAUGACCCAGGAAAAUCACAUCCUGAUCAAUGAACCAAGUUACCCUAGGGAUAACAGCGCAAUCCUUUCUUAGAGCCCCCAUCGCCGAAAGGGUUUACGACCUCGAUGUUGGAUCAGGACAUCCUAAUGGUGUAGCCGCUAUUAAGGGUUCGUUUGUUCAACGAUUAACAGUCCUACGUGAUC